GUCGAUCGGUUCGGUAGUUUUCGAGCCUAUAUGACAAACAGACAGACAGAUCGGACUGCAUUUUUAUAUGUAUAGAUUACAACAUCAGUUUUUUUAGAACCUAAAGAAUGAAUAUACAUUUAUUGGAUUGAAGCGGUCAUGCAAAUCUAUUUUUACAAACAAUAAGUCUGAAUGAGAAAGGCUGGGUUUGACCGCUAGGUGGAUUAAUUUAGGUUUUUACCGAAUGCUCAUAAAUACAAUAACUGCUUUCAAAUGACGUCUUUCGGAGCGAAUAUCGUUGAAGAAAGUGGAUUGAACUCAACGUUUAAGUUAUAUUUUUAUUGAAUUAAUCUAUCGUUGAACAGUGGACAGUUAAAAAAUAAUAUAUUAACUGAAACGUUGUUAGUUGGUCAACGUUUUAACGGAAUUUUGAUGUCCUCUGUACUAGGACUAUCUCACCCAUUUUUAUAUUAAUCUAAAACUGUUUUCAGGUUAAAGGUCAAAUUCACCAUAGAACAGGAUCGUUAUUGCCACCGACAAAUGAAGAUCAUAAAUUCCUUCAAAUACAUUUCGUUGGAAAUUAUGAUACAGAAAUUGAUAAGCGUUGCGCCAUCAACCGUGCUAUGAAGCGUCAGAUCAUUGGAGAACUACAAGAAGUACAAGAACUACAAGAAUUGCAGGUUAAACGUCCGACUGGAAGUCAUGAACGGCAAUUUAAUGCAACUACUAUGGAUGAAAUAGCUGUUGUGAUUUCUGGUGAAAACGCUGAAUCCCGUGACAUCGUUUUAAAACGCACUGAUGGCCAAUUGCAACGUGUCUAUGAAACCCAUCGUUCGUACGACUCAUUGCAAUAUCCACUUUUGUUCUGCUAUGGAGAGGAUGGAUAUCAUUUCCAAAUAAGAAUGAUUAAUCCAUCGAUAGGCGAAAAAACAAACAAGAAGGUAGUUCAAUGAAUUUCUACUCAUACCGUUUGAUGAUAAGGAAGGAUAUUGAUAACCAUUUACUGCGAUAUAGUCGACUGUUUCAACAGUAUGUGGUGGACAUGUACGUCAAAAUUGAGACUGAGCGCUUAAACAAUCAAGUCAAACUGCGGUCCGAGGAGUACGUUCAUUUGCGAGAUGCAAUAAGUUCAGAUAGGAAUGUCCACGAUAUUGGUCGACAAUUUUUCCGUCCACUUGUGUCGGAAGUCCACGAUAUAUGCAAGAACAUUCCCAAGAUGCCAUGACGUUAGCAAGUCUACUUGAGUCGGAAAGCCAGUUUGUAUGACAAUCGCCGCGGCUGCGCGGGUGAUUUUAUUUCUCAAACGGCAAGCAAUAAAGCUCUCAGGACGACAAAGUGCACGCAAGCGAUUUUCGUUCACUUGCCCAACGUAAUAAUUAAAGCGGCAAAGCAGGAAGCAAACGGACGGCAACACCGCUGGCAAAACGAAUUAUAGAACGAAAACGCACAUUCACAGAGUUGCGCACAUAACUAUUCAGAGUGAGAAAUCUAGCAUACGAGUAGCCAUACUGCAAGUACGGAAAUUAGGGGCUACGUUAUCGCUAGCAAAAAAGAAGAAAUAUAAAAAGAGCGUGAGAGCGUAACUACGAAUAGCGCGCACACACGUUGCAUACAAAAGCUAGUCAGUUGUACUAAUUCUCGAGUACACUGUUUCUGUUUCUGAAUUUUGCAAAGCUAUUGCGAUCAGCUGUGCCAGCCACGGCCAAGGUCGUAUUUUGUAAGCAUCUGUUUUAAUGGCCGCUGGUAGAACGUUUUGCUACCAUAAGCAAAGAGAACCUGGUGGCCUACCAGUAGCGGUGAAAUGCUAAGAGGGUAAAAUAUGGAUACAUCAAUAAGCGCAACGCGCGCAACAAUGGUGAAAAAUCCGAUAUCUAAUGUUGAAAGUUUACGUCAAAAUAUCAUUUCAUGAAUAAGGAAUGGCACUUUACGCUAUCUAAUGUAAACAUUUACAAUCUUCGAUUAGUUUAAUUACACUAAAUAAAAAUGAUUUUGCCUUUCUCCUAGAAAGGUAUAGCAAUCACUUGCAAAACCGAAAGUAUGAAAGUGCUCCAAAGGGCCGAGUGGCAUAUAUCACUCGACUCAGCUCGACGAGCUGAGCAUUUUCUGUACGUGUGUGUGUGGGUGUGUAUGUGCAGAUUUUUAUUCUCACUCACUUUUCUCAGAGAUGGUUGAACCUAUUUCCAUGAAAUUUAUUGCAAAUGAAAGGUCUUGUUGUCCCAUGAGACCCUAUUAAAUUUCAUUGUAAUCGGAUUUUUAGUUUAGAGGUUAUGUAUCAAAAUGUAAAAAUAACCAUCAUUAUCUCAAAAACUACACAACCGAUUUGAACAAAAUUGGUUUAAUUGAACGAGCUACCUCAAAAACCCUUAAUUUUUUAAUCUUAUGAAUAUUGAACUUGUGGUUAAAAAGUUAUAAAAAGAAACGUGUUCUGGAGACUGUUUAAUCUCACUCAUGUUUCUCAGAGAUGGCUGGACCGAUUAUCAUUAAAUCAGUGUCAAAUGGCCCCAUAAGACCCUUCCGAUUUGUUUUGCAAUCGGACUAUUACUUCGCCUGUUAUGUUCAAAAUGUGAAUGUGUUAUGUAAAUGUGAAAUACAGCUAUGAAAAGGAACAUAAUCCGAAGAAUUCUUGGACUCACUCACUUUUCUCAGAGAUGGCUGACCAGAUUUCCAAAAAAAUAGUGUCAAAUGAAAAGUCUAGCUGCCUCAUAACACCCUAUUGAAUUUUACUGUAAUCGAACUGUAACUUCGUCUGUAAUGUACCGAAAUGUGAAAAUGACGAAACUUCAUUAUCUCAGAAACUACACAACCGAUUUGAUCAAUAUUAUUAUCAUAUAAGCGGGCUAGUUAAGGGUUAACUGACGAAUUAUGAUUGAACACGUGGUUUCAAAAUUUUGCUGCACUAUACGUUCCCAUUUUAUUUGAUUGUAAUCGAACUUAAG
Molecule: long non-coding RNA, 2915 nt
Organism: Wyeomyia smithii (pitcher-plant mosquito)
Lineage: Eukaryota; Metazoa; Arthropoda; Insecta; Diptera; Culicidae
Exons: 3
Source: RefSeq, a predicted model, not a curated record